AGAGUUAGUUCCAUGGCUUCUGCUGCUGGAUGUUUGCAUGGCGGGUUGCAGCAGUAAUAUUACUGUCUUAUAGACCCAUUUUCAUAUUUCCCUUCAAGGGCUUGCAAGCUAAGCCUUGCCCCAAUGGGACCUAUGGUGAGCAAAGGGGUCUGAGCAGAGCUGAUGAAUGCUUACUGUGCCCUGCAGGGAAGUACUGCUAUAGAGCAGAGGUUGAGCCUUCAGGAAUUCCCCACCCUACUGGGGAUUGCCCCCCCGGCUAUACUUGCCCACCGGGGACUGGAUUCCCUUUCUCUUUCCCCUGUGUGCCGGGAUUCUCCUGGGAUAACUCCACUGUAGAGGGUGAAGGCAUUUGCAUACCAUGCCCAGCUGGGCACUACUGUGACUCUCCUGCCAUGUUGGAGCCCAAAGCCUGCCCAGUGGUAAGUUCUUUUGUCUUGGUUGUCUGAUGGAAGGAGCUGAUGAUAAGUGGUAUGUGGAAGUCUGUUUAAUGGAAGAGCCUCCAGUGCUGUAUUAAGCUGUUUUUUUUUUUGUAGGGCUUUUACUGCGUCAGAGGCAGCUCUCAACCAGAGCCCUGUCCGGAGGGUACAUACAGUAACAGGAAGGGGCUAUCUGGACCCUCAGAGUGCAGCCCAUGUGGCCGUGGCUUCUACUGUGCUGCUCCAGGCCAGACUGCACCAAGCGGCCCCUGCAACCCUGGAUUCUACUGCCAGGGUAGAGCUCUGACUCCAGUAAGUCAGGUGGCAAGUUUUUCUCCUCCUUGUCUAAUGGGGGUCCACUGUGGUGUUCUCCUUUAUUAGCCCAGUGACUUCAAGAACCAGUUUCAUG
RNAcentral lists this long non-coding RNA (825 nucleotides) under Struthio camelus australis. RNAcentral describes it as "lncRNA (ENSSCUG00000012091.1)". The record is from RNAcentral. Lineage: Eukaryota; Metazoa; Chordata; Aves; Struthioniformes; Struthionidae.